This 858-nucleotide ribosomal RNA is filed under the name Staphylococcus aureus. Its description in RNAcentral is "partial 23S ribosomal RNA". It matches the Rfam family "Bacterial large subunit ribosomal RNA", at positions 703 to 1561 of the family's 2925-position model. The record is from RNAcentral. Lineage: Bacteria; Bacillati; Bacillota; Bacilli; Caryophanales; Staphylococcaceae.
UUGGUCGUAGACCCGAAACCAGGUGAUCUACCCUUGGUCAGGUUGAAGUUCAGGUAACACUGAAUGGAGGACCGAACCGACUUACGUUGAAAAGUGAGCGGAUGAACUGAGGGUAGCGGAGAAAUUCCAAUCGAACCUGGAGAUAGCUGGUUCUCUCCGAAAUAGCUUUAGGGCUAGCCUCAAGUGAUGAUUAUUGGAGGUAGAGCACUGUUUGGACGAGGGGCCCCUCUCGGGUUACCGAAUUCAGACAAACUCCGAAUGCCAAUUAAUUUAACUUGGGAGUCAGAACAUGGGUGAUAAGGUCCGUGUUCGAAAGGGAAACAGCCCAGACCACCAGCUAAGGUCCCAAAAUAUAUGUUAAGUGGAAAAGGAUGUGGCGUUGCCCAGACAACUAGGAUGUUGGCUUAGAAGCAGCCAUCAUUUAAAGAGUGCGUAAUAGCUCACUAGUCGAGUGACACUGCGCCGAAAAUGUACCGGGGCUAAACAUAUUACCGAAGCUGUGGAUUGUCCUUUGGACAAUGGUAGGAGAGCGUUCUAAGGGCGUUGAAGCAUGAUCGUAAGGACAUGUGGAGCGCUUAGAAGUGAGAAUGCCGGUGUGAGUAGCGAAAGACGGGUGAGAAUCCCGUCCACCGAUUGACUAAGGUUUCCAGAGGAAGGCUCGUCCGCUCUGGGUUAGUCGGGUCCUAAGCUGAGGCCGACAGGCGUAGGCGAUGGAUAACAGGUUGAUAUUCCUGUACCACCUAUAAUCGUUUUAAUCGAUGGGGGGACGCAGUAGGAUAGGCGAAGCGUGCGAUUGGAUUGCACGUCUAAGCAGUAAGGCUGAGUAUUAGGCAAAUCCGGUACUCGUUAAGGCUGAGC